This 468-nucleotide ribosomal RNA is filed under the name uncultured bacterium. RNAcentral describes it as "bacterial SSU rRNA". It matches the Rfam family "Bacterial small subunit ribosomal RNA", at positions 56 to 519 of the family's 1533-position model. The record is from RNAcentral.
UGCAAGUCGAACGGCAGCACGGACUUCGGUCUGGUGGCGAGUGGCGAACGGGUGAGUAAUGUAUCGGAACGUGCCCAGUAGCGGGGGAUAACUACGCGAAAGCGUAGCUAAUACCGCAUACGCCCUACGGGGGAAAGCAGGGGAUCGCAAGACCUUGCACUAUUGGAGCGGCCGAUAUCGGAUUAGCUAGUUGGUGGGGUAACGGCUCACCAAGGCGACGAUCCGUAGCUGGUUUGAGAGGACGACCAGCCACACUGGGACUGAGACACGGCCCAGACUCCUACGGGAGGCAGCAGUGGGGAAUUUUGGACAAUGGGGGAAACCCUGAUCCAGCCAUCCCGCGUGUGCGAUGAAGGCCUUCGGGUUGUAAAGCACUUUUGGCAGGAAAGAAACGUCGUGGGUUAAUACCCCGCGAAACUGACGGUACCUGCAGAAUAAGCACCGGCUAACUACGUGCCAGCAGCCGCG